RNAcentral lists this transfer RNA (72 nucleotides) under Candidatus Rhabdochlamydia porcellionis. RNAcentral describes it as "tRNA-Thr". It matches the Rfam family "tRNA". From Rfam's summary of the family: Transfer RNA (tRNA) molecules are approximately 80 nucleotides in length. Their secondary structure includes four short double-helical elements and three loops (D, anti-codon, and T loops). Further hydrogen bonds mediate the characteristic L-shaped molecular structure. tRNAs have two regions of fundamental functional importance: the anti-codon, which is responsible for specific mRNA codon recognition, and the 3' end, to which the tRNAs corresponding amino acid is attached (by aminoacyl-tRNA synthetases). tRNAs cope with the degeneracy of the genetic code in two manners: having more than one tRNA (with a specific anti-codon) for a particular amino acid; and 'wobble' base-pairing, i.e. permitting non-standard base-pairing at the 3rd anti-codon position. The record is from RNAcentral. Lineage: Bacteria; Pseudomonadati; Chlamydiota; Chlamydiia; Parachlamydiales; Candidatus Rhabdochlamydiaceae. RNAcentral also lists the same sequence under 6 other names.
GCUGGAGUAGCUCAACGGUAGAGCAUCCGCCUUGUAAGCGGACGGUUGAGGGUUCGAUUCCUUUCUCCAGCA